UAACCAACACGCAUGUGCUGCUCCUACCAGGAAGUUCUUCUUUAAAACGCGAAGUACGCAUGCGUCACAUCCUUUCUUCCCACGAGUGGAAGGAGCUGGUCGGAUGUUCUACACGUUGCAGUAUAACUUGAGGAGCCUGAGGAAGAUGGCUGCAGCCAAUGGAAGUGAUCAUGUCAUUUGCUACUGGAAAUGGGUGACAUGAGAAGUACAAAUAAAUAACUUGGUCCAAGGAUUGCCACUGGACAAGAGUGACAUGAGAAGUGCAAAUGAUGAAUAACAGGUCCAAAGAUUGCCACUGGACAAGGAUGACAUGAGAAGUACAAAUAAAUAACUGGUCCAAGGAUUGCUACUGGACAAAGACAGUGUUUGUUUCUAUGAUGAUUGUCAAGUUUUUGCCGUUUACCCAUCUGACCAAAUUGGUUUGCUGACACUGCCCAAGGAUUGCCACUGGACAAGAGUGACAUGAGAAGUGCAAAUGAUGAAUAACAGGUCCAAGGAUUGCCACUGGACAAGAGUGACAUGAGCAGUACAAAUAAAUAACUGGUGCAAGGAUUACAACAUAGAAAAUUGUGACCUGAAAAGUGCAGCUGAAUGAAGGAUUUUAAGGUUGUGUAAUUCUGCACAAAAUGCAAGAUCUGUUUGCGGGAUUCUUCCAACAAAAGAUCCCUCUGGUUCAAGGAGUCUAGGUCACGGAGAGCACAGGGAAACACCGCAUCGGGUGGAAAAACAAGCGCAGAGGCCCCUGCGUUCCCAAAACAAACUUUCUCAUUCCAACUCUGUAACAUGUAACAUCUAUAACCUCACUGUAACAGGGGUUUGAUCCUAACAAUAAAGCAGUAAUGCAGUGCUAAAACAGGUAAACAGAUUAUGAUCAAACAUGCAUAUUGAAAUAAACUGUCAUCUGAAAACUC
Long non-coding RNA from Labeo rohita (rohu), 911 nucleotides. RefSeq lists it as uncharacterized. NCBI's taxonomy places the organism in Eukaryota, Metazoa, Chordata, Actinopteri, Cypriniformes, Cyprinidae. The transcript has 10 exons. The record is from RefSeq and is a predicted model, not a curated record.